This 69-nucleotide transfer RNA is filed under the name Odorrana wuchuanensis (Wuchuan odorous frog). RNAcentral describes it as "tRNA-Thr". It matches the Rfam family "tRNA". Rfam says of the family: Transfer RNA (tRNA) molecules are approximately 80 nucleotides in length. Their secondary structure includes four short double-helical elements and three loops (D, anti-codon, and T loops). Further hydrogen bonds mediate the characteristic L-shaped molecular structure. tRNAs have two regions of fundamental functional importance: the anti-codon, which is responsible for specific mRNA codon recognition, and the 3' end, to which the tRNAs corresponding amino acid is attached (by aminoacyl-tRNA synthetases). tRNAs cope with the degeneracy of the genetic code in two manners: having more than one tRNA (with a specific anti-codon) for a particular amino acid; and 'wobble' base-pairing, i.e. permitting non-standard base-pairing at the 3rd anti-codon position. Lineage: Eukaryota; Metazoa; Chordata; Amphibia; Anura; Ranidae. The record is from RNAcentral.
GUCCUGAUAGCUUAACCAAAGCACUGGUCUUGUAAGCCAGAGAUUGCAGACUAACCUCUGCUCAAGACU